GACGAACGCUGGCGGCGUGCUUAACACAUGCAAGUCGAACGGAAAGGCCCUGCUUUUGUGGGGUUCUCGAGUGGCGAACGGGUGAGUAACACGUGAGUAACCUGCCCUUGACUUUGGGAUAACUUCAGGAAACUGGGGCUACUACCGUAUAGGAGCUCCUGCUGCAUGGUGGGGGUUGGAAAUUUUCGGCGGUUGGGGAUGGACUCGCGGCUUAUCAGCUUGUUGGUGGGGUAGUGGCUUACCAAGGCUUUGACGGGUAGCCGGCCUGAGAGGGUGAACGGCCACAAUGGGACUGAGAUACGGACCAGACUCCAACGGGAGGCAGCAGUGGGGAGUAUUGCACAAUGGGCGGAAGCCUGAUGCAGCAACGCCGCGUGCGGGAUGACGGCCUUCGGGUUGUAAACCGCUGUAGCCUGUGACGAAGCGGGAGUGACGGUAAUGGGUAAAGAAGCACCGGCUAACUACGUG
RNAcentral lists this ribosomal RNA (468 nucleotides) under uncultured bacterium. Its description in RNAcentral is "partial 16S ribosomal RNA". It matches the Rfam family "Bacterial small subunit ribosomal RNA", at positions 28 to 507 of the family's 1533-position model. The record is from RNAcentral.